GGUAACCGAGAUACAAAUUUAGAAUGACAGUUUAAGUUACGCUGUAUAAUGAUAUGCAUGGGUAAAUUGGAUGAAAAUUAUGGGGUUACUUUAGAUUAUUUUUUAUAAUUAUUGGGUUACUUUAGAUUAUUUUUUGUAAUAGUAAAUCUCGAUAAUUUAGAUAUAGUUUUAGAGGUUAACUUUAGAAUAUUUUCAUAAUGAUAGUGGUGGGUAGUUUUUUAGAAAAUAUAAUAGACCAAUGACUAUGAUUUUAUUGGAUUCAUGUUUGAUGUUUCUAAUUUUUAUAAGAAUUUUUAGGAUUUGUCCUUUUUCCUAGCAUGCCUUGGGAGAACUAAUACGGAGUCUCCAGCGGAAAAAAAAUGAGUAUACAUUGCUACAAAACUAUUACCUUGAGCUACCUCUCAUUUGUUAAAUAUUCAAACGCAAUACUUAUUAUCUUCA
This 441-nucleotide long non-coding RNA is filed under the name Setaria viridis. RNAcentral's name for it is "long non-coding RNA (SVIR_LNC003024)". The record is from RNAcentral. Lineage: Eukaryota; Viridiplantae; Streptophyta; Magnoliopsida; Poales; Poaceae.